UGACUCAGCCCACACAAAGGAUACAUAGGU
Molecule: non-coding RNA, 30 nt
Filed under: Mus musculus (house mouse)
Lineage: Eukaryota; Metazoa; Chordata; Mammalia; Rodentia; Muridae
Source: RNAcentral